This 909-nucleotide ribosomal RNA is filed under the name uncultured bacterium. RNAcentral's name for it is "bacterial SSU rRNA". It matches the Rfam family "Bacterial small subunit ribosomal RNA", at positions 46 to 952 of the family's 1533-position model. The record is from RNAcentral.
GCUUACACAUGCAAGUCGAGGGGCAUCACGAAUUAGCAAUAGUUUGGUGGCGACCGGCGCACGGGUGCGUAACACGUAUACAACCUACCUUCAAUUGGGGAAUAACCUGGAGAAAUUUGGACUAAUACCCCAUAGUAAACGGAAGAGGCAUCUUUUUUGUUUUAAAGAUUUAUUGAUUGGAGAUGGGUAUGCGUAGGAUUAGCUAGUUGGUAAGGUAACGGCUUACCAAGGCGACGAUCCUUAGGGGUUCUGAGAGGAAGGUCCCCCACACUGGUACUGAGACACGGACCAGACUCCUACGGGAGGCAGCAGUGAGGAAUAUUGGUCAAUGGUCGAGAGACUGAACCAGCCAAGUCGCGUGAAGGAAGACGGCUCUAUGAGUUGUAAACUUCUUUUGUACAGGAGUAAAGUGAGACACGCGUGUUUUAUUGCAAGUACUGUACGAAUAAGCAUCGGCUAACUCCGUGCCAGCAGCCGCGGUAAUACGGAGGAUGCAAGCGUUAUCCGGAUUUAUUGGGUUUAAAGGGUGCGUAGGCGGUAUUACAAGUCAGGGGUGAAAUCUUGGUGCUUAACAUUAAAAUUGCCUUUGAAACUGUGGUACUUGAGUGUAAAAGAGGUAGGCGGAAUGUGUUGUGUAGCGGUGAAAUGCAUAGAUAUAACACAGAACCCCGAUUGCGAAGGCAGCUUACUAUCAUACAACUGACGCUGAUGCACGAAAGCGUGGGGAUCAAACAGGAUUAGAUACCCUGGUAGUCCACGCAGUAAACGAUGAUUACUAGCUGUUAGCGAUAUAUUGUUAGUGGCUAAGCGAAAGCGAUAAGUAAUCCACCUGGGGAGUACGUUCGCAAGAAUGAAACUCAAAGGAAUUGACGGGGGCCCGCACAAGCGGAGGAACAUGUGGUUUAAUUC